This 71-nucleotide transfer RNA is filed under the name uncultured Desulfobulbus sp. It matches the Rfam family "tRNA". From Rfam's summary of the family: Transfer RNA (tRNA) molecules are approximately 80 nucleotides in length. Their secondary structure includes four short double-helical elements and three loops (D, anti-codon, and T loops). Lineage: Bacteria; Pseudomonadati; Thermodesulfobacteriota; Desulfobulbia; Desulfobulbales; Desulfobulbaceae. RNAcentral also lists the same sequence under 1 other name. The record is from RNAcentral.
GGGUCGUAGUUCAGUUGGUUAGAAUGCCGGCCUGUCACGCCGGAGGUCGCGAGUUCGAGUCUCGUCGGCCC